Molecule: long non-coding RNA, 473 nt
Filed under: Selaginella moellendorffii
Lineage: Eukaryota; Viridiplantae; Streptophyta; Lycopodiopsida; Selaginellales; Selaginellaceae
Description: long non-coding RNA (SMOE_LNC000025)
Source: RNAcentral
CAAGGCCGGAGUAUAGGAGGGGCGCUGCGAGAAAUCGUAAGUGUUUUCGGUGAGAAUCGUUGAUAAAUCUGAUCAAUAUUUGCUUUGGCAGUGGAAAACGUGGCUAUCGAGCCUACUGCAGAGAACCAAGUGGAAAAUGUCAGACAACUAUCCAACUUUGGAGGAAUAUCUAAAGGCCUCACAUUCAAGCAUCGAGCCUGCUGUCCGGAGCACUGUGUACUUCGUCGGCGAAACGCUCGCCACCGGAGAUUUAAAAGACUCGGCCAUUUGCCAAAUGAUGAACACUGCUUCACGCCUGGUACAAGAUACACACACGGACAAGGUAAACCCGAAGAAAUAGACGAAAUAGGAAAUCCCUUACCACCAUUCGAGAUUUUCCAGGUGGAUUCAAGCCUCAACAGUAUCACCAUCUACCUUGAAGAGAAUCCUCAAUUAACUGAAAGUGAAGCACUAAGUCAGGUCCAAGCACUUGC